CAGUAGCCGCGGUAAAACGAAGGGUGCAAGCGUUACUCGGAAUUACUGGGCGUAAAGCGUGCGUAGGUGGUGGUUUAAGUCCGUUGUGAAAGCCCUGGGCUCAACCUGGGAAUUGCAGUGGAUACUGGGUCACUAGAGUGUGGUAGAGGAUAGUGAAAUUUCCGGUGUAGCAGUGAAAUGCGUAGAGAUCGGAAGGAACAUCUGUGGCGAAGGCAGCCCCCUGGGCCAACACUGACGCUCAUGCACGAAAGCGUGGGGAGCAAACAGGAUUAGAUACCCCAGUAGUCCCUGUCUCUUAUAC
Molecule: ribosomal RNA, 301 nt
Filed under: uncultured bacterium
Lineage: Bacteria
Description: partial 16S ribosomal RNA
Rfam family: Bacterial small subunit ribosomal RNA
Source: RNAcentral